UAGUCAUACCUUUGCAUCAAAGCUUUUAAGGGGAGGUGUCAAAUUAAAAGAAUUAAUCUUGAAUCUGCGAAUGGUUCAUUAUAUCAGUUAUAGUUUACCCUUUAAAAAAAAGCUACACGGAUAACUGUGGCAUUUCUAGAGCUAAUACGUGCGUCAGGACUUUUCCCGUUUUGGGGGAGUGUUGUAUUUAUUAGUUGUAAAACCGACUCUGCGCAAGCAGGUUUGUGGUGAAUCAUAAUAAUUGCAGCGAACCGCUUGUCUCACGACGGCGGUGAACCGUUCAAGUUUCUGCCCUAUUAGUUUUCGAAGGUCGUGUAUUGGACAACCUUGUUUUUUUUGGGUGACGGAGAAUUAGGGUUCGUUUCGGGAGAGGGAGCCUUACAAACGGUUCCUACAUCCAAGGAAGGCAGCAGUGGCGAAACGUACCUAAUCCUG
This 435-nucleotide ribosomal RNA is filed under the name uncultured eukaryote. Its description in RNAcentral is "partial 18S ribosomal RNA". It matches the Rfam family "Eukaryotic small subunit ribosomal RNA", at positions 21 to 453 of the family's 1831-position model. The record is from RNAcentral.